GACGAACCGUCCAAACGUUAUUCGGAAUCACUGGGCUUAAAGGGUGCGUAGGCGGCGCGGCAAGUUGGGUGUGAAAUACCUCGGCUUAACCGAGGAACUGCGCCCAAAACUGCCGUGCUUGAGGAAGAUAGAGGUGAGCGGAACUUAGGGUGGAGCGGUGAAAUGCGCUGAUAUCCUAAGGAACACCGGUGGCGAAAGCGGCUCACUGGAUCUUUUCUGACGCUGAGGCACGAAAGCUAGGGGAGCGAACGGG
Molecule: ribosomal RNA, 253 nt
Filed under: uncultured bacterium
Lineage: Bacteria
Description: partial 16S ribosomal RNA
Rfam family: Bacterial small subunit ribosomal RNA
Source: RNAcentral